AACGAACGUUGGCGGCGUGCCUAACACAUGCAAGUCGAGCGCGGGCAGGACUUCGGUCCUGUUCCGAGCGGCGCACGGGUGAGUAACACGUGAGUAACCUGCCUCGAAGUUUGGGAUAACCGCCCGAAAGGGUGGCUAAUACCGGAUAAGCCCCCAUGGCACAGGCCAGAGAGGGAAAAGCCUUGGCGCUUCGGAGAUGGGGCUCGCGUCCCAUUAGCUAGUUGGUGACGGUAACGGCUCACCAAGGCGAAGAUGGGUAGCUGGUCUGAGAGGAUGAUCAGCCACACUGGAACUGAGACACGGUCCAGACUCCUAGGGAGGCAGCAGUGGGGAAUAUUGCGCAA
RNAcentral lists this ribosomal RNA (344 nucleotides) under uncultured bacterium. RNAcentral describes it as "bacterial SSU rRNA". It matches the Rfam family "Bacterial small subunit ribosomal RNA", at positions 29 to 371 of the family's 1533-position model. The record is from RNAcentral.